GGAGCCGUGGCUGGAGUCAUGCUGUCCCAGCAGCAGGAAGUGAAUUGCACUGGCUACAGUGCGGCUUUGUAGCUGGGUGAAUCCCAGGUUCCAUUGUCCCUUUGCGAGAUCCCCGAGCCCCGGCGGCUGGUGCUGGGAGCCCGGAGCCCUGGCUGCAGCCGGGAGAGGGGAAUCUCCAGCAGGGCCCUUCCCGCUGACUCCCCAGGAGCCUCUCCCAGGGCAGAGCCCCCCUUCCCAGGCCCCAGCUCCCAGGGAGGGCACCGCUCGGAGGGAAGGCUGCAGAAUAACGACCACGUCUCGCUCCAGAUCGGCCCAUCGGACCAUGAAACAGGGACGGGAAACGGCGGGAGCGGAACCUGCUUGGGGAACAACCCCCCUACCCAAGGCUGGAGAAAUUUACCAGACUCCCAGUGCCGGAGCCAGAAACUUCUAGCCAGAAGCAGACAAUGGUGAGGUACAGGCGAGAUGUCCCAUCCUGGAGACCCAGCUCCUGAGAAGGUGAGGGGUUGGGAUUUCUCUCCCUGGACCUGUUUUGGGGGCGCCAUUUCCCGUAUCACCCUCUGGCUGGUAGGAAUGUGAUGAACAUGAAGGUCCCUGGUCUCCUCCAUCUGCUGGGAUGGGAGGGACAAGGAGCGCUCACCUUCUCCCCACCCUGAAGCCUCCUGGCUGCUCUGAGCAGGGUGGGGGUGGGAUUCUACUAUUCUGUCCCCCCCAGAGCUUCCAUUUUAUUGGCCCUCCUCCCCCGUGACUAGCGGGAUUGUG
Molecule: non-coding RNA, 762 nt
Organism: Chrysemys picta bellii (western painted turtle)
Lineage: Eukaryota; Metazoa; Chordata; Testudines; Emydidae
Source: RefSeq, a predicted model, not a curated record